CUCCGAUGCUUCAAUCGCUCCAUGGUUCGCCGGUGCACUCACAGCACCACUCGCAGCAGCAGCAGCUCCAGCAGCAGCCGCCUCUACCGCAGGACCUAUCUGAGGCCCUGUGGCGUGACGUGAUCACUCCGUCACCACCGCCGCCGCCAGUUUUACCUCCUCCGCCUCAGAGGCCUAGGAGGAAUGCGCGCACGUCUACGCGCGGAGGGAUUCGCAUAGGCACCCCUCCACGUGUUAGUAGCAGCCGCUACACGUCGCUACCUGGGGAGUCUGAGACAGGGGAGUCUCAGCAUCCAGUAUCGGAGGUUACUUCUGUUCCGAUCCCGCCUCUGCCGCCGCAGAAUUUUGGAGAGCCGAUUCCGGCUUAUGCUAGUGCCGCUCAGUUCAACCCGUUCGAGCAGGUAUUCCCUCAGGGUUAUGAUUACACGGGAGACCCUUAUUGGCAAGCUGUGAACUACAGCUCACUCCCACAUAGUGGUCCACUUGGAGACCCUUGGGCUGCUGGCCCAUCUACUUUUGGUUACCCCCCGGGUUACCAGCAGCCACCGCAGCCGCAGCCUUACCAGCCGCCGCAGCCGCAGCACUACCAGCCACCACCACCGGCGCCUAUGAUGUCGCCGCCGCAGGUUCAGGAGAUCCUGCAAGGGAUUGAUAGCAUGCGACGCGAGUUUCAGCACAAUAUGCGAGAGGAUCGCCGACGCACCAGUGGC
This 710-nucleotide long non-coding RNA is filed under the name Helianthus annuus (common sunflower). RNAcentral describes it as "hypothetical non coding rna". Lineage: Eukaryota; Viridiplantae; Streptophyta; Magnoliopsida; Asterales; Asteraceae. The record is from RNAcentral.